Molecule: ribosomal RNA, 253 nt
Filed under: uncultured bacterium
Lineage: Bacteria
Description: partial 16S ribosomal RNA
Rfam family: Bacterial small subunit ribosomal RNA
Source: RNAcentral
GACGAGGGAUCCUAGCGUUGUUCGGAAUUACUGGGCGUAAAGCGUACGUAGGCGGUUAUUCAAGUCAGAGGUGAAAGCCUGGAGCUCAACUCCAGAACUGCCUUUGAAACUAGAUAGCUAGAAUCUUGGAGAGGUGAGUGGAAUUCCGAGUGUAGAGGUGAAAUUCGUAGAUAUUCGGAAGAACACCAGUGGCGAAGGCGACUCACUGGACAAGUAUUGACGCUGAGGUACGAAAGCGUGGGGAGCAAACAGG